UACAUGGGGUGCAAACGUUGCUCGGAAUUAUUGGGCGGAAAGCGCACGUAGGUGGUCUGUUAUGUCAGAUGUGAAAGCCCUCGGCUUAACUGAGGAAGUGCACCUGAAACUGGCAGGCUUGAGUACGAAAGAGGGUCGCGGAAUUCCCGGUGUAGAGGUGAAAUUCGUAGAUAUCGGGAGGAACACCGGUGGCGAAGGCGGCGACCUGGUUCGAUACUGACACUGAGGUGCGAAAGCGUGGGGAGCAAACAGG
This 253-nucleotide ribosomal RNA is filed under the name uncultured bacterium. RNAcentral's name for it is "partial 16S ribosomal RNA". It matches the Rfam family "Bacterial small subunit ribosomal RNA", at positions 524 to 776 of the family's 1533-position model. The record is from RNAcentral.